GGGGAUAACGUUUGGAAACGAACGCUAAUACCGCAUGAUAUUAUUGAGCUGCAUGGCUUGAUAAUCAAAGGAGCAAUCCGCUGAAAGAUGGGCUCGCGUCCGAUUAGGUAGUUGGCGGGGCAACGGCCCACCAAGCCGACGAUCGGUAGCCGGACUGAGAGGUUGAACGGCCACAUUGGGACUGAGACACGGCCCAGACUCCUACGGGAGGCAGCAGUGAGGGAUAUUGGUCAAUGGGGGAAACCCUGAACCAGCAACGCCGCGUGAGGGAAGACGGUUUUCGGAUUGUAAACCUCUGUCCUCUGUGAAGAUGAUGACGGUAGCAGAGGAGGAAGCUCCGGCUAACUACGUGCCAGCAGCCGCGGUAAUACGUAGGGAGCAAGCGUUGUCCGGAUUUACUGGGUGUAAAGGGUGCGUAGGCGGCUUUGCAAGUCAGAAGUGAAAUCCAUGGGCUUAACCCAUGAACUGCUUUUGAAACUGCAGAGCUUGAGUGGAGUAGAGGUAGGCGGAAUUCCCGGUGUAGCGGUGAAAUGCGUAGAGAUCGGGAGGAACACCAGUGGCGAAGGCGGCCUGCUGGGCUCUAACUGACGCUGAGGCACGAAAGCGUGGGUAGCAAGCAGGAUUAGAUACCCUGGUAGUCCACGCUGUAAACGAUGAUUACUAGGUGUGGGUGGACUGACCCCAUCCGUGCCGGAG
This 696-nucleotide ribosomal RNA is filed under the name uncultured bacterium. RNAcentral's name for it is "bacterial SSU rRNA". It matches the Rfam family "Bacterial small subunit ribosomal RNA", at positions 139 to 851 of the family's 1533-position model. The record is from RNAcentral.